CAGCCCUAAACGAUGCGCGUUAGGUGUAUCGGUGACCACGAGUCACCGAGGUGCCGAAGGGAAACCGUGAAACGUGCCGCCUGGGAAGUACGGUCGCAAGGCUGAAACUUAAAGGAAUUGGCGGGGGAGCACCACAAGAGGUGGAGGCUGCGGUUCAAUUGGAUUCAACGCCGGAAAUCUUACCGGGACCGACAGCAACAUGAAGGCCAGGCUGAAGACUUUGCCGGAUUAGCUGAGAGGAGGUGCAUGGCGUAGUCGUGU
RNAcentral lists this ribosomal RNA (261 nucleotides) under uncultured archaeon. RNAcentral describes it as "partial 16S ribosomal RNA". It matches the Rfam family "Archaeal small subunit ribosomal RNA", at positions 748 to 1009 of the family's 1478-position model. The record is from RNAcentral.